Molecule: long non-coding RNA, 1592 nt
Organism: Seriola aureovittata
Lineage: Eukaryota; Metazoa; Chordata; Actinopteri; Carangiformes; Carangidae
Exons: 2
Source: RefSeq, a predicted model, not a curated record
UCUGCUGCUCCGCAUAUUUUCAUUGUUUUCGUUGUAAAAUGUUAAUGUAAGUUAUCUUAAACUGUUGUAAUGCUGGUGUAGUCACAUAGACACGUGUUAAAAGUGUAUUUUUUUUGUUAUAUUGUCAUGCGUAAAUUUGCUAACUCGAGUGGAGAAGUAUUAUGGUCGUGUGUGUUGCUAGGCUGCUGCGUAGCUUAUAACGCUAGGGUGUACUAUUGAGAAUGAAUGCUCACAGGAGCCAGGUGGUGACUGUGUUCAUGGUGUUACAGACCAGAGAGAGCAAAGAGAGCAUGUAUGAGAAAACACUUGUGAACACCGGUGAAUACUUCUUCUCUAUAAUACAGGUGCACUAAAGAAGAAUGCAGUGACUCAAGGAAUUACCCAGAAAGAUGCGGAGAGGGCCCUCUCCAAGUGGUUCACAGGACCUUGUGAUAGAGGUGGAAACAGAACAGUAAGAGCUCAGAGAGAGCUUGAAAAAAAACUGGAAGAUGGGACACAGUCCCAAGAAGCGGUACAGUCCCAAGAAGGCACAGUCCCAGUAGAUAGUGUUACCUGGUAGUAAUGUGUGUUGUUGUGUUGAAUGUGUAGCGGACACUGGUGGACGCCAGUGACCAGACACCAGAUUUAUGGUAAGGAUACUGGGGUGCUCUGGAGGAUAUGGGGAGCCUCCCAUGUCCACUUUCCCAUCAUCAAACCAUCACAUGGAUAGAAAACAGGGACGAAAUGAGUUCCCCUCACCAAUAGACUAGCUUUUGAAGAUACCAUCGGAAUUUAUGGCUAGCCCAUCGAACUCAUUCUGAACCAACACUCCUGCACCAAAUGGGAGACAAACACAACUCUCCCCCACACACUGACAAUGAAUUCAUGUUUCAUCCCUGACACUCAUCUGGGAUUGAUAGGAGGGUGCUACCUCUUAUCAAAUAACAUGAAAAGGAACAUUUAGCCAUCAAGGUGCUAAACCACCAGGAUUCACACUCCUGACUCAUUUUCUCUCACAAGAGAAAAUAACACUCUCACCUUUAACACCCUUUCUUACCCAAAGGGGGGUCUCACGAGGAACCACAGACCCCCGCCAUAAAACCAUCCUACAUUCCAAGCCGGAUUGAUGAACUAUGAUUGAAAUGUCAUUGAACCAAACGUCCUAUCACCAGGUAAUUCAUGCAGUAUUACUCUGGAAAGAUUUCAAUUAAGUAUGAUCCAAAGUUCAUUUCUGUAGCCCACAUGGAGGCUGAGAUAGGUUUUAUUAGUUCUAAGGUAAAUAUCCACCAUGUUACAAUACUGCCAUCUAAGGACCACUCUGGACCCCUUUUUCCCUUAGGGAAUUAAGGAAUAGACAAACUUAAUGCAUCACUCUGACAUUACUGUUUUAUAUUGUAACUUAGCUAUAUAUUUGUGUGGUUACAAAUUGUUAUCCUUUCAUUGAUCCAUGUAUUCUAUGUGUGCUGUUAAACAUGAUGAUAUUAUUAGUUGUCUUGUAUAUUCCAAACUUUAGCUAGGUAGUUGAUAUAGGCCGUUGUCAAAAUGAAUGGGCCAUGGUGGGAGUAGAAUAUGCAACACUUGCGCGUAAAACCAAAUUAAACAAAUUAACUUAA